Molecule: unclassified non-coding RNA, 334 nt
Filed under: soil metagenome
Description: partial contains 5.8S ribosomal RNA, internal transcribed spacer 2, and large subunit ribosomal RNA
Rfam family: 5.8S ribosomal RNA (bases 1-119)
Source: RNAcentral
GAUGAAGACGCAGCGAAAUGCGAUAAGUAGUGUGAAUUGCAGAAUUCAGUGAAUCAUCGAAUCUUUGAACGCACAUUGCGCCCCUUGGUAUUCCAUGGGGCAUGCCUGUUCGAGCGUCAUUUGUACCUUCAAGCUCUGCUUGGUGUUGGGUGUUUGUCCUUGCUCUAGUGGCGGGACUCGCCUUAAAGUAAUUGGCAGCCAGUGUUUUGGUUUUGAAGCGCAGCACAAGUCGCGAUUCAAGUCUAUACGCUAGUUUCCACAAGUCUUUUAUCACUUUUGACCUCGGAUCAGGUAGGGAUACCCGCUGAACUUAAGCAUAUCAAUAAGCGGAGGA